CUGAGUUUAGGGUUCCUUGUGGGCCCAAACCUCUAAACCCCUUGGUGUCUAUUACCCUGUUGCUUCGGCAGGCAAGCCCAAUAUGGGGUACCUGCCGGAGCCUUUAUGUGUAACAAUCUAGUUAUAAAUUCUUUUGUCUGAUCCUUCUGAAAAAUAUAGAAUUGUUA
Molecule: unclassified non-coding RNA, 167 nt
Filed under: uncultured Ascomycota
Lineage: Eukaryota; Fungi; Ascomycota
Description: sequence contains ITS1
Source: RNAcentral